Molecule: long non-coding RNA, 282 nt
Filed under: Homo sapiens (human)
Lineage: Eukaryota; Metazoa; Chordata; Mammalia; Primates; Hominidae
Description: HSALNT0007761
Source: RNAcentral
CAAGAAUCAGUGGCACACAGACGCCUGAAAAUUCCUCUAGGCAAGAGGUUGGGUGAGGCUCCAGUGGUAGCUAAGGAGUGGGGGCUCUGUUGGAGGAGACUGCAGUGCUUCUCACACGGAGACAAGGGUGUGGGACUCCAUGUGGGCCCUGUGGCACAGCCAGCGUGGGGUUGUCUUGGAUCGCAACAAGAGGAGUCCUGGAGGGAUAACGUAUCCUGAAGAGGAGAGGAAAGACCCACCCCCAUAAUUCAAUUGUCUCACACUCGGCCGCUCCCACAACAC